ACGAGGCACUACGGUGCUGAAGCAACAAAUGCCCUGCUUCCAGGAAAAGCCUCUAAGCAUCAGGUAACAUCAAAUCGUACCCCAAACCGACACAGGUGGUCAGGUAGAGAAUACCAAGGCGCUUGAGAGAACUCGGGUGAAGGAACUAGGCAAAAUGGUGCCGUAACUUCGGGAGAAGGCACGCUGACACGUAGGUGAAGUGAUUUACUCAUGGAGCUGAAGUCAGUCGAAGAUACCAGCUGGCUGCAACUGUUUAUUAAAAACACAGCACUGUGCAAACACGAAAGUGGACGUAUACGGUGUGACGCCUGCCCGGUGCCGGAAGGUUAAUUGAUGGGGUCAGCGCAAGCGAAGCUCCUGAUCGAAGCCCCGGUAAACGGCGGCCGUAACUAUAACGGUCCUAAGGUAGCGAAAUUCCUUGUCGGGUAAGUUCCGACCUGCACGAAUGGCGUAAUGAUGGCCAGGCUGUCUCCACCCGAGACUCAGUGAAAUUGAACUCGCUGUGAAGAUGCAGUGUACCCGCGGCAAGACGGAAAGACCCCGUGAACCUUUACUAUAGCUUGACACUGAACAUUGAGCCUUGAUGUGUAGGAUAGGUGGGAGGCUUUGAAGUGUGGACGCCAGUCUGCAUGGAGCCGACCUUGAAAUACCACCCUUUAAUGUUUGAUGUUCUAACGUGGACCCGUAAUCCGGGUUGCGGACAGUGUCUGGUGGGUAGUUUGACUGGGGCGGUCUCCUCCUAAAGAGUAACGGAGGAGCACGAAGGUUGGCUAAUCCUGGUCGGACAUCAGGAGGUUAGUGCAAUGGCAUAAGCCAGCUUGACUGCGAGCGUGACGGCGCGAGCAGGUGCGAAAGCAGGUCAUAGUGAUCCGGUGGUUCUGAAUGGAAGGGCCAUCGCUCAACGGAUAAAAGGUACUCCGGGGAUAACAGGCUGAUACCGCCCAAGAGUUCAUAUCGACGGCGGUGUUUGGCACCUCGAUGUCGGCUCAUCACAUCCUGGGGCUGAAGUAGGUCCCAAGGGUAUGGCUGUUCGCCAUUUAAAGUGGUACGCGAGCUGGGUUUAGAACGUCGUGAGACAGUUCGGUCCCUAUCUGCCGUGGGCGCUGGAGAACUGAGGGGGGCUGCUCCUAGUACGAGAGGACCGGAGUGGACGCAUCACUGGUGUUCGGGUUGUCAUGCCAAUGGCACUGCCCGGUAGCUAAAUGCGGAAGAGAUAAGUGCUGAAAGCAUCUAAGCACGAAACUUGCCCCGAGAUGAGUUCUCCCUGAGACUUAGAGUCUCCUGAAGGAACGUUGAAGACGACGACGUUGAUAGGCCGGGUGUGUAAGCGCAGCGAUGCGUUGAGCUAACCGGUACUAAUGAACCGUGAGGCUUAACC
RNAcentral lists this ribosomal RNA (1378 nucleotides) under Salmonella enterica subsp. enterica serovar Senftenberg. RNAcentral's name for it is "bacterial LSU rRNA". It matches the Rfam family "Bacterial large subunit ribosomal RNA", at positions 1569 to 2925 of the family's 2925-position model. Lineage: Bacteria; Pseudomonadati; Pseudomonadota; Gammaproteobacteria; Enterobacterales; Enterobacteriaceae. RNAcentral also lists the same sequence under 7 other names. The record is from RNAcentral.